CUUUAAUGGAGAGUUUGAUCCUGGCUCAGGACGAACGCUGGCGGCGUGCCUAAUACAUGCAAGUCGAGCGGAUUGAUGGGAGCUUGCUCCCUGAUAUCAGCGGCGGACGGGUGAGUAACACGUGGGCAACCUGCCUGUAAGACUGGGAUAACUUCGGGAAACCGGAGCUAAUACCGGAUAAUCCUUUUCCUC
This 192-nucleotide ribosomal RNA is filed under the name Bacillus sp. UNCCL13. RNAcentral's name for it is "16S rRNA. Bacterial SSU". It matches the Rfam family "Bacterial small subunit ribosomal RNA", at positions 1 to 187 of the family's 1533-position model. The record is from RNAcentral. Lineage: Bacteria; Bacillati; Bacillota; Bacilli; Caryophanales; Bacillaceae.